This 523-nucleotide ribosomal RNA is filed under the name Ophiomastix pictum. RNAcentral's name for it is "Ophiarthrum pictum partial 16S ribosomal RNA". It matches the Rfam family "Bacterial large subunit ribosomal RNA", at positions 1819 to 2597 of the family's 2925-position model. The record is from RNAcentral. Lineage: Eukaryota; Metazoa; Echinodermata; Ophiuroidea; Amphilepidida; Ophiocomidae.
CGCCCUAGUGAAUAAGAUCUAUGGGUCGGACCUGCCCGGUGGCGGUGGUAUACCCCCCUAAACGGCCGCGGUACUCUGACCGUGUUAAGGUAGCAUAAUCGCUUGGCCACUAAUUAUGGUCUGGUAUGAACGGUUUGACGACAGGGGAGCUGUCUCCUGCCUUUGACUCUGAACAUUGGAUUCCACGUGCAGAUACGUGGAUAGGUUAGUGGGACGAGGAGACCCUGUUGAGCUUUAGUCUUAGGGCAUCAUGUGGGAUGAUGUGUUGGACUUGGGUUGGGGAAACUACGUGCCUAAUUAGACGUGCGAAGUACCGUUGGGACUAUCCUCUGGAUGAUUCGAAUCUAGCGAUUGGCCUCUGACCCUUAAGGUUUUGAGCAUCGGAAAUAGUUACCUCAGGGAUAACAGCGUCAUCUGGCCGGUGAGUCCUUAUUAAUGGCUGGGUUUGCGACCUCGAUGUUGAAUCAAGUUAACCGGGAGGGCAGCCGCUUCCUAUGGUUGGUCUGUUCACCAUUAAAAUCUU